ACAACUGCAGAUGAGAUGGGGCCUCAGCAAAACGGAACUGCCAAGCACUGGUAUCAGGGACUUGGGAUGGCCUGAACCAUCGCAGCCCUGAGUCAUAUGACACAGCAGUUUUCUUCAGCCCUGCCCGUGAGGUAGGAGACUGUCAGGUUGGUUCAGGUCUGACAAGAUGUCUCUUUUCUCUAACAUUUAAACAGCUCCAACCAUCUCAGCUCCUUCAUGAUUGUUUCGUCAUCAUCACCAUCGUCACU
RNAcentral lists this long non-coding RNA (248 nucleotides) under Homo sapiens (human). RNAcentral's name for it is "non-protein coding lnc-CATIP-4:1". The record is from RNAcentral. Lineage: Eukaryota; Metazoa; Chordata; Mammalia; Primates; Hominidae.